Ananas comosus (pineapple) is the source of this 682-nucleotide long non-coding RNA. RefSeq lists it as uncharacterized. The record is from RefSeq and is a predicted model, not a curated record. The transcript is spliced from 3 exons. NCBI's taxonomy places the organism in Eukaryota, Viridiplantae, Streptophyta, Magnoliopsida, Poales, Bromeliaceae.
UGUGGGAGAUGCUACCAGCAGCUGUGGAAGAAAGUUUGGCUGUGGUUUAUCAACUCUAAUCUAAGGAAAAGCUGAACUAAAGCUAUUGGAAGGUUCACAGCAAGGAAUUGGACUCCUUUGAGCUGAGUUUAGUGACUCUUAUGAGCUGACUUUGAGGUGCUUCAACCUGAGUUGGAGCCGUGCAAGGUGAGCAACCUAACUUUUUGCUAGUUGGUAUGUGUUGGUGGAGUAGUGAUGAAGUCUAUGGUGUAUGUUUACAACAGAAUUUUCAGCAGGGUAUUAGAUCCUUUUUGGCUGAGCUUGGGGAGCUUUCGAAGGCCGGUUUCGAUGUUCCAAUCUGAACCGAAGUGAAGAAUUAAGCCUUGAUACUAUACUAAGUAAGAUUCUAAGCCUAAACUAUGUAAAUAGGUGAGAUUUACGUGUAGAGAUUGAAGUUAAGCUUCUAGCUGAAUUUGGGGAUAUUUGCUAGGGUGCUUGGAGGCUUCAGAUCACCUUGAGCUGAGUUUUGAUGAUUCUUAAAAGCUGCUUUAAUGUACUUCAACCUGAUUUGAAGUAAAGUUCAAGUGUGGAUUCUAAACUAGGGCACUUGGAAGCUAGAGAACAUCUUCGCUUACGGGAUCGACAAAAGUCGAUGGCGAUUUGGUGGGUUUGACCUUACCGAAAUGGGUAAAUUCCCUCUAUG